Molecule: ribosomal RNA, 254 nt
Filed under: uncultured bacterium
Lineage: Bacteria
Description: partial 16S ribosomal RNA
Rfam family: Bacterial small subunit ribosomal RNA
Source: RNAcentral
UACAGAGGGUGCGAGCGUUUGUCCGGAAUCACUGGGCGUAAAGGGCGCGUAGGUGGUUGGGUAAGUUUGAUGUGAAAGCUCAGGGCUUAACCCUGAAAUGGCAUUGAAUACUACUUAACUGGAGGUUUGGAGGGGGGACUGGAAUUCUUGGUGUAGCAGUGAAAUGCGCAGAUAUCGGGAGGAACACCGGUGGCGAAGGCGGUUCUCUGGGCCUGUACUGACGCUGAGGAGCGAAAGUGUGGGGAGCGAACAGG